Molecule: long non-coding RNA, 239 nt
Filed under: Ananas comosus (pineapple)
Lineage: Eukaryota; Viridiplantae; Streptophyta; Magnoliopsida; Poales; Bromeliaceae
Description: long non-coding RNA (ACOM_LNC036218)
Source: RNAcentral
GGGUAGUUUUCUUGGAUCGGCUACCGUCGUGGGUGGUGUGCGGUGUAGUUUGGGCACAGGCUGGACUGGCUAGUUGGCGAUCCGUUGAGAUUGGGUCAGUGUGAUUGAUUUGUAGCUAGUGAUGUAUUUUUUAUGUCUAUAGAGAGUAUGAUUUGGAUAGUGGUAGUAUAGUGGCAUAUAGCUGUAGAGUUUCCUCCAGCUCAUUUUACUAUCCUUUACCUAUAAGUUUCAUACUUGUU